This 1509-nucleotide ribosomal RNA is filed under the name metagenome. Its description in RNAcentral is "bacterial SSU rRNA". It matches the Rfam family "Bacterial small subunit ribosomal RNA". The record is from RNAcentral.
AGAGUUUGAUCCUGGCUCAGAACGAACGCUGGCGGCGCGUUCUAAGCAUGCAAGUCGAACGGUAUACAUAGCUUGCUAUGUAGAGAGUGGCGAACGGGUGAGUAACACGUAGGUAAUCUGCCUCCGGAUGGGGGAUAGACCACGGAAACGUGGCGUAAUACCGCAUGAGUUCUAUACUUAUAACGAGUGUAGAAGAAAGAUGCAAUUGUAUCGUCUGGAGAUGAGCCUGCGGUCCAUUAGCUUGUUGGCAGGGUAAUGGCCUACCAAGGCGACGAUGGAUAGCCGGCCUGAGAGGGUGAACGGCCACACCGGGACUGAGACACGGCCCAGACUCCUACGGGAGGCAGCAGCUAAGAAUCUUCCGCAAUGGGCGAAAGCCUGACGGAGCGACGCCGCGUGGACGAUGAAGGCCGAAAGGUUGUAAAGUCCUUUUCUUAGGGAAGAAUAAGGCGGAGAGUGGAAUGCUUCGUUGAUGACAUUAACUGAGGAAUAAGCCCCGGCCAAUUACGUGCCAGCAGCCGCGGUAAUACGUAUGGGGCGAGCGUUGUUCGGAAUUAUUGGGCGUAAAGGGCGUGUAGGCGGUUUUAUAAGCCUGGUGUGAAAUCCCACAGCUCAACUGUGGAUCCGCGCUGGGAACUGUAAGACUAGAGUUUAGGAGGGGAAGCUGGAAUUCCUGGUGUAGGGGUGAAAUCUGUAUAUCAGGAAGAACACCGAUGGCGAAGGCGAGCUUCUAGCCAUAGACUGACGCUGAGGCGCGAAAGCGUGGGGAGCGAACAGGAUUAGAUACCCUGGUAGUCCACGCUGUAAACGAUGUGCACUGGGUGUAGGAGACGUCGAGUUUUCUGUGCCGUAGCUAACGCGAUAAGUGCACCGCCUGGGGAGUAUGCUCGCAAGGGUGAAACUCAAAGGAAUUGACGGGGGCCCGCACAAGCGGUGGAGCAUGUGGUUUAAUUCGAUAUACGCGAGGAACCUUACCAGGGCUUGACAUGUACUUGAAGUCUUAAGAGAUUAAGUCGACCUUUAGGGGACAGGUACACAGGUGCUGCAUGGCUGUCGUCAGCUCGUGUCGUGAGAUGUUGGGUUAAGUCCCGCAACGAGCGCAACCCUUACUGUCCGUUGCCAGCAGGCCUUCGGGCGCUGGGGACUCAGGCAGAACUGCCGGUGACAAACCGGAGGAAGGUGGGGGUGACGUCAAGUCAUCAUGGCCCUUAUGUCCUGGGCUACACACGUGCUACAAUGGUCGGUACAAAGCGUUGCGAGACGGUGACGUCCUUAGCAAAUCGCAAAAAGCCGAUCUCAGUUCGGAUUGGAGUCUGAAACCCGACUCCAUGAAGUUGGAAUCGCUAGUAAUCGCGCAUCAGAAUGGCGCGGUGAAUAUGUUCCCGGGCCUUGUACACACCGCCCGUCACACCACCCGAGUUGGGGGUACCCGAAGUCGCUAGUCUAACUCUUCGGAGAGGACGGCGCCGAAGGUAUGUCCGGUAAGGGGGGUGAAGUCGGAACAAGGUA